This is a long non-coding RNA of Carassius auratus (goldfish), 1535 nucleotides long. RefSeq lists it as uncharacterized. NCBI's taxonomy places the organism in Eukaryota, Metazoa, Chordata, Actinopteri, Cypriniformes, Cyprinidae. The transcript is spliced from 2 exons. The record is from RefSeq and is a predicted model, not a curated record.
GACCUGGCUCUAAAGCCAUGACAAAACUAAAAGGACGCAGUUUUAACCCACAAAAAUGAAAUUUAUUAACUGAACAAAAACACCAAUACAACAACUAACAUAACAUAAUACAACAGUGACGUGUGAGAAUCAGUAAAGUCAGUAGAAUGAGGUGCAUGUUUGAAUGAAUGGAUCGUAUACUGUUGCGUGUUGCAUGAACAAAACAACCAGUGCACGGGAGAGAAGGGCUCUCCCUUCACAAAGAGAGUGGCAGGUUUAUAAAGGCGUGAAACACCUGGGCCCAGGUGUCCCCAAUCUCGCUGACAAAUGAUAGCCACGCCCCCUGCAACAGAGAACAUACCAUACACAAGGAAACAGUCCUGACCAACAGGCCAUCACACCCCCCCCCAUAAGAACGGGUUCCCAUAAACUCUCAAAAUCAGUGACCUCAGCAGACGCACACCAUCGUGAAAAGCAAGUGGUUAAAUCCCGCACAAAUUCUAGAUGGCUCUGCUUCGGACCUUUUUUCCAAGAUCUAAAUCUUUGUCUGUAAUAUUCUGGAACGCGUUCAUAAGCCUUCAACACGGCAGCUUUCACCCUUGCAUAAUCUUGACUAUCUGCCGCAGUUACUGCUGAAUAGGCCUCUUGAGCUUUACCAGUUAACACGCAUUGAAGCAUCAAAGCACGAGCUGCUGCCGGCCAGUUACGUGCAUCUGCAACCCUUUCAAAUAGCAGAAAAAAAGAAUCUGGAUCACUCUCCGAAAACUUCGGCACCAGUCGCAAAUUUCCCAACACAUCAAAAUCAGAGCUAAGCUGCUGAGGAUCUGAAGCUAACUCCAAAUGCACUCCAGGUCGAGAUGUACUUUUACCCUCGCGAAUCACCUCGAGUUGAUGUUCCAAAUCCAAGCGCGUUUGCUCAGUUUGCUGACGCAACUUUUCCACAGCCAAAUCUUUCUCGAUUGUGGCGUUCACUUUAUAUUUAUCAUAUUCGAUUUGCAACAUAAAAAGUUCUUUCCUCUCUGCAAAACUCAAUCCCUCCAUUGAUACAGGCGCAAAAGACGAAUCAGUCAAUUUUUCUUCCACCAAAAUUUUCUGUUCAACCAAUUUACUCUUUACACUGCCUUUUAUUUUUUCUUUUUUAGAACUACUACUAACCUCAACUUGAUAGUAGUCUGCUAACUGCAGCAACUGCUCUUUUGUACAUUGCUCAAACGCCUUUUCCGACGGACAAGCAAUAAAUUCCUCCACAAUCGACAUUAUCAAAAUGCGCAAAAACAGCUCAGCAAGUAUAUAACUCAAAACACACAAUGGCCAAGAUCUAAAUGCAAAGGAUGUCCCCCUAACUAACUCAGCCCCCAAAAGCUACCUACCUAAACUAAAACCUUUCUCUUCAUGCAGUUACCGGCGGUGGGCAUUUAAGCACCAACGCCCGAUGGACAGGACAAGCAACCAGAACCUGGCGACUCGCCCCAGACCACGGAUGUGCGCCCGAGACAAUUGCUCUAACCGCCUUCACCACAACACUACAAAACCCAGCCCAAAAAAAAAAAAAAAAA